This 520-nucleotide ribosomal RNA is filed under the name uncultured Acaulospora. RNAcentral describes it as "SSU rRNA". It matches the Rfam family "Eukaryotic small subunit ribosomal RNA", at positions 569 to 1088 of the family's 1831-position model. Lineage: Eukaryota; Fungi; Glomeromycota; Glomeromycetes; Diversisporales; Acaulosporaceae. The record is from RNAcentral.
AGCAGCCGCGGUAGUUCCAGCUCCAAUAGCGUAUAUUAAAGUUGUUGCAGUUAAAAAGCUCGUAGUUGAAUUUCGGGGUUCAUACAUUGGUCGGGCUUUUUGGUCUGUACUUAUGUAAUGGAUUCCUACCUUCUGAAUAACCAGCAUGCCAUUAAUUUGGUGCGCCGGGGAAGCAGGACUGUUACCUUGAAAAAAUUAGAGUGCUUAAAGCAGGCUAUCGCCUGAAUACAUUAGCAUGGAAUAAUGAAAUAGGACGGCAUGGUUCUAUUUUGUUGGUUUCUAGGAUCACCGUAAUGAUUAAUAGGGAUAGUUGGGGGCAUUAGUAUUCAAUUGUCAGAGGUGAAAUUCUUGGAUUUAUUGAAGACUAACUUCUGCGAAAGCAUUUGCCAAGGAUGUUUUCAUUAAUCAAGAACGAAAGUUAGGGGAUCGAAGACGAUCAGAUACCGUCGUAGUCUUAACCAUAAACUAUGCCGACUAGGGAUCGAACGAUGUUAAUUUUUUAAUGACUCGUUCGGCGCCU